AGUAACAUUUUAAAAAAGAAAUGAAGUCACCGGGUGGGAACAAAACAUUCAGAAAUAUAGAAAGAAAGAACAGUUUUCAGAGUUAGGUUUCUGGGGCUAAUUACAGUCCAUCGACACCUCUUCCUCCUUUCUGGAGCUCACUAUUCCUGAGCCCUUUCCUCUGGCUUCAUCUUUGCCUCAUUUUGAAAACUUGGGCUUUUUGGUUAGUGAGCGCUGUUCACUUGAGUGAAACAAUAACAGAAUCGUAGGUAAUUUCUCUUUACACCUUAACAACUACUGUAAGCCCACCUUGUGUAAAUCAGCCACGGACGGUGAAUGCAGGCACUGGAUCUUCCCUACAAGCUAUCCCUGGUGAACUGCUCUGGGUCAUCUUCUUGCUGUAGUUACUGCAUCACUGCCAUCUUGAUUUUGGCCCAGGGAGGUGUUGCUGCCCUUUUAAAGCUCUGGCCAGGGGGCCAUAGGUACCAAUUCUCAUUUGUGAGGAAUGGCACGCUCUCAUAUGCAACACAUAAUUUAUUGAGCACCUGCCAUGUGUCAGGCCCUGUGCUAGGUGCUGGGGGUGUGAUGACAAAGAAGGAAGACAUGGCCUCAUGAACAAGCUGGACUAUUUGGCUGAUAAAAUAUGGCUCUCAGCUUGGGGUUCUCUAUAGGGCUCACUGUUUCCUCCUCGCAAAGGCAAAUUUUCUCUUCCAUCCUCAAGUGUCCUCAAAUACAAUUAGCCUCUUUAGAAGUUACGGAGAGGGAGGCCACAAGACAAGUGGAUUCUCCAGCCAAGCUGAAACCCUCUCUGUGCCCUUCAAUGUGAAAUGUGGAAAACGCCCAAGAAGCAAGGCCCGGAUGCGAGGCAUCAGCUCUCCCUCGGAGCUCUCCUCCACAGGGAGCUGGAGGGUUGUGGUGGAUUUGGCUCCAGGCUUCAUCCCUUGAACCUUUCCUGCCACUCUUUUCAGAGGCCUCACUUCCUGGGCCUAAGUGGAAGCCACAAACCAUAAGCUCUUGCAAGCCCCUCACCACCCAGACCACAUCUCCCCGGACUUACUAUGUGUUGCUGCUUCCAGCUAUGUGACUUUACUCACACUAAUUCCCAGAAGACCAAGCAUUCGUACGGAUAACAUGAAAGGGUGUGGACGUGGACCAGGCACAUGGAACUCAGCCCUCUGGACACACGGGAAGCUUUUAAGAAGACACAGCACCCAAGCUCUAUCUUCAAGGGUGAGGAGUAUGCCAGACAUAAGACCUGAGAGGACAGCGGUCUACACAGAGGGAACAUCCUGGAGGGAAUGGCACACAGCAGAGCUUAAAAUAAAGCAGCACAGAGACAGCUGUGGUCCAGCUGCCCGCCCUGUCGGUGGCAAUCGCCUCCCUGGUCAGGUUCAUCUCUGAACACCUGGUUGGGACAUGAGUGCAUCCUCCUAGGACCCAGAAGUCACUGAGCAGAAGUGCAGCAACGUGGCAAAACCAACAGAGCUGAAGCGGCACAGAACAUUCCUGGACAGGUCUGCGAGGGUGGGGCAGCCAGGAAGUGACAGCAUGAAGCCAAGCACACUGGGCUCCUCUCCAGAGAUAUAUGGCAAAGGUGCGAGCUUUAGAGACAGGAAUGUUGGGAUUCCUCUCCUGGUUCUUCCACUUAAUGGCUGCUUGAUUCUGAACCUUAUCAGAGUAUCAACCUUAUCAGAGUAUUAUCAAUUUACAUCUAUAAAAUGGGAAGAUCACAAAAUAUAACUCCCAGGGUUAUGAGUCUGCAUGAGCUAGCUUGGAUAAAUGUUUAGCGCUGUGCGUGGCAUACUGUAGCUUCUUUUCUAGACCUGUGGAAAGAAUUGCAUAAAGGAGGCAGUGAUUGACCCCUCAACUCAAUGGCGACCUUGCAGAGAGAGAGAGGUUUAAUCCACCUAGGGAGACUCCUCUGCAAUUAGUGGCACAACAGUAAGGUCCUUAAAGAGAAUCACUAACAUCAAGGAAAGAUCAUGAACUUUUGCUUGUCAAAAAUAGUGGAAGAAUGGGGCUGGCCCUGUGGCCGAGUGGUUAAGUUCGCACGCUCCGCUGCAGGCGGCCCAGUGUUUCGUCGGUUC
Non-coding RNA from Equus caballus (horse), 2066 nucleotides. NCBI's taxonomy places the organism in Eukaryota, Metazoa, Chordata, Mammalia, Perissodactyla, Equidae. The record is from RefSeq and is a predicted model, not a curated record.